RNAcentral lists this ribosomal RNA (510 nucleotides) under uncultured bacterium. RNAcentral describes it as "bacterial SSU rRNA". It matches the Rfam family "Bacterial small subunit ribosomal RNA", at positions 8 to 507 of the family's 1533-position model. The record is from RNAcentral.
AGAGUUUGAUCCUGGCUCAGAGUGAACGCUGGCGGCAGGCCUAAUACAUGCAAGUCGAACGGCAGCACGGCAGAGCUUGCUCUGUGGGUGGCGAGUGGCGGACGGGUGAGGAAUACAUGGGAAUCUGCCCAGUCGUGGGGGAUAACGUAGGGAAACUUACGCUAAUACCGCAUGCGCCCUUCGGGGGAAAGCCGGGGACCUUCGGGCCUGGCGCGAUUGGAUGAGCCCAUGUCGGAUUAGCUAGUUGGCGGGGUAAUGGCCCACCAAGGCGACGAUCCGUAGCUGGUCUGAGAGGAUGAUCAGCCACACUGGAACUGAGACACGGUCCAGACUCCUACGGGAGGCAGCAGUAGGGAAUAUUGGACAAUGGGCGCAAGCCUGAUCCAGCCAUGCCGCGUGAGUGAAGAAGGCCCUCGGGUUGUAAAGCUCUUUUGUCCGGAAAGAAAAGCGCCGGGUUAAUACCCUGGUGUCCGGACGGUACCGGAAGAAUAAGCACCGGCUAACUUCGUG